UCGUUUAAAGCCAUUACGUCAGCAUCCUUAGCAAAUUUUUGAUCGUUCUAACCUAAUGGCAUUAGUACUCCCCGGUGGCAAGAAUGUUGUCACAAGAGAGGUAACAUCCAGAGAUCAGCGACAAGCCAAAGGCAUUUGCUGCAAUCCUCGAUCCCGCAGGCUGCAUCCCCCAGGGUCAUAAUACUCUCCCGAAGCAGAGCUACUUUCCCCCAAGUAUUUUACAACCCCCGAAACC
Molecule: ribosomal RNA, 235 nt
Filed under: uncultured Glomeromycotina
Lineage: Eukaryota; Fungi; Glomeromycota
Description: partial 28S ribosomal RNA
Source: RNAcentral